Long non-coding RNA from Solea solea (common sole), 962 nucleotides. RefSeq lists it as uncharacterized. The record is from RefSeq and is a predicted model, not a curated record. The transcript is spliced from 3 exons. Lineage: Eukaryota; Metazoa; Chordata; Actinopteri; Pleuronectiformes; Soleidae.
CGUUUAUAGUAUUUGUAAGAGGUGUGUUUAACGUGUUGUCAUAAUAUUAAAAGGCACAAAUAAUGAACGAGUGUUCUGUGUGUUUUGUUUUAUCUGACUGCCGCUGUCACUCACUGUGUCACAGUCAUUCUCAGAAACAACUGUCACACAUCAGAUUGAAAUGAUGUCAUAGAGUAAAUGAUCUGGCCGUGGUUUUAUCCCCAGACUCAGACACUGAGUCCAGCAGUAAGAGCAGAGCAUUGAAACCACUGAAUAGACACGGUUCCUCCUCUGUGUGUGUGUCACUAAACACAGUUUAUCACAUUUAUCUCGUUUAUAAUCAUCAGAAUUGUUCAACUGCUCGUACUUGAGUCACUGAAACAGAGCUUCUCCACAUGACCUCUUAAAACUGUUCAACUGUUAAAGUGUCAGCUCUCUGUCGCUGGUCCAGCUCCUCCAUUGUCUCAGUCGCUAGCUACUGUAUCUGUCAGUCACUGCAGAAGAAUAGGUCGCCAUGACAACUGCAGCAAACAGGUUUCCAGUAGCUCUGAUGCACAAAACACACGGAGCAGAGAGAUGUAGACAAAGUGCAGCCCACGCACAUGAAAGGUAAGCAGCGCACACAGUUACUCUCCUCUCACAUAUUUAUGGAUGUUUUUCAAACUUCCUGCUGCGACUGAUGUUUGAAUGUGCUCAGUGACACAGGAACACAGAGGAAAUGUUCACUGUAAACCAUCAACCUCCACGCUGCCAUGAUUUAUUUCUGCGUGGUCGACCGUACAGAGGGGAGCCGCCGACCGUGGCAGGGUUUCUCCUGUACCCGGACACUCCGGCUAAAAUGGAGACCACGUCCCGCGAGGCCUUCUGCUUUAAAGUCGUCCCACAACAAGUCAGAGGCAAAGCUCCAGGAAAUCAUAUAACUGAGAACACACUGCAGGAGUCUCACUGUCGUCAUCCAAGCAGCAGCAGCAGCAGCAGCAGCA